UCAGUCAGGCGUGUGUACUACUCCACAUACCUUAAUAUCUAUCUAUCUGCAUCAGAUCGCUGUAUCUUCAUCUUUGGGUUUUCGUCUUCUGCCUGUAGCCAUUCUUCUGAGCUCUGUGAGACUGUGACUGGACUGUAGGUAUGAAGAAACAGCGAUGGACAUGGAUCGGGAGUUUUUACAAGAUCUUCGGGACCUGAAAAUUCUGGUAGAGAAAGAUGCAUUAGAUGAACAGAAGUCACUAAUUAUGUCUUUUGUCAGUGGAAAAGUUUCUGAUAAGACUUGCAAUGACCUUGACUGCAAUUUUAAAAACCUGUCAAGAACCAUAGUCAAUAUUGCAUAUGGAUUAAAUCAUAGUAAAGAAAUGAAAGACUUGUUUGUGGACCUUGUAGAAAAGGUGA
Molecule: long non-coding RNA, 398 nt
Organism: Limulus polyphemus (Atlantic horseshoe crab)
Lineage: Eukaryota; Metazoa; Arthropoda; Merostomata; Xiphosura; Limulidae
Exons: 3
Source: RefSeq, a predicted model, not a curated record